Molecule: long non-coding RNA, 992 nt
Organism: Ictidomys tridecemlineatus (thirteen-lined ground squirrel)
Lineage: Eukaryota; Metazoa; Chordata; Mammalia; Rodentia; Sciuridae
Source: RefSeq, a predicted model, not a curated record
AGGGGCGGGACGAACCUGGAAGCGCUGCGUCGAGAGCGGGCCACGAGCCCACGCUGAGGGCGGAGCGGCCAGGAGGCGGGGCUUAACGCCAGCUGUCAAUCAGUACGUUUUCCUGGUGGUCUGCGUUCCCGUCGCUGCUUAAAAUAAGAGGACAAAAUAAAACUAAGCAUUCUUUCAUUUGUAAUCAGGCUCCUGCAAAGUAGCUGCUAUUGUUACCAACGUUUUACUAAUGAGGGAACAUUUUACUGAUGAGGACUUGAGCUGUCUUGAUAGCGACUGGGGCUGUGUUGUACUCUCAAGGCUGGAAGCUGCCUGCCUCUUCACUACUGAGCUUGCCAUAAAGCAGGUGUCUGUUUCCAACUCUGGCAAAGCAACAUCCACAUUUGGAACAUCAAGCUCUCAUUGCCUUCCAUGGAUGUGAGUGUGGAAUGGCCAGGCAAGCAAGACAGGCUGAAUUGAGCCCCGAUCUCACAAGAGUUCAGGUGGAGUGCAACCAGCAGAGAUCUACAGGCCAAAUCUGCCUCAUAUAGUCAUGAUUUCUUUGGCCCAUAAAGGGUUGAAAAUUGGAAUUGUCCUCCAAUAUUUUAACUGUGGAAGUGUAUCACACACAAGUCAGAUUUCUGGUCUAUGUUGAAAAACCGGAAAGUCAGACAGUAGUGGCCACAUGGUCAGAUAGCAACAACGAACUGUGUGGAGGCCCCUCUCUAGAGAGAGCUUCAGUUUUAUAGCUUCUCCAUAGUUCCUGGCAAUUCCCAUUGUCUUCCAGAACUUGAGGCCAUUUAUUACCUGAUUUGGGGCCCAUUUGAAACAUCCCUGUUACCUGCCUGGCCUCCGGCUAGAGGAGACAUGUUAUUAGAUGGCAGGUCUGCACCCAUGCCUCCAUUGGAGCCCAGGAAGGCAGGCCCCAGGGCUUAGUCCCAUCACCACAGAUGAUGCACAAGGCAAACAAUGAGGAAUAAGAGCCCUUAUGUUAGGGUUUGGAUGUGAGGUGU